CACUGGUGCCCGGAGCGAUAAGAUCGAUCAGUCGCUGCAGAAGUAUGAUCACCCACGCUGCCGUUGGCACAUAUUAUUUGGUACGAAGUCAGAACUACACAACUUAUAUCAUGCACGCACAGCAAGUGAUUUUGAAGAUACUUGGACGGCCCUAGUCAAUGAGUAUGGUCUUCAAGAGGAGAAUGCAUAUCUCCAAAAGGCGCAGAUGUUAAUAGACGAUGAAACGAAGCCCAAUGAUUCACAGGAGAUAGAUACAGACCGUAAAGAUGUCAAGAGGGAGGUGGAGGCUCCUAAGUUGAUCAUUUCUCGUCAUAGUGAUGAUAAAUUCUCAUCCUAGUGAUGAGAAAUGUGACUCGCCCACCGUCUGAAUAGCAAACAUGAGGCAACAUGCAAGUACCAGCCGAAAAUCAACUCUCUGAUGGUGUGAUAUGGUUGCCAGCCAUCGGUCAAAUAAGCAGCCAUUCGGUGUUUUUACAUUUAUGAAUCACAAUCGUACUGUAAUAAUAAACUAGUUACAUCUAUAUUUAUAGAUCGUUUUUACUUUAAUUAGCAUAUGUUUCAUUUAUAUUAUGCUAAACUCCUAUGAUAUGUGGAUGAGCCAAUUCACCGAUAUUUUGUUUC
Molecule: non-coding RNA, 621 nt
Organism: Oryza sativa Japonica Group (Japanese rice)
Lineage: Eukaryota; Viridiplantae; Streptophyta; Magnoliopsida; Poales; Poaceae
Source: RefSeq, a predicted model, not a curated record